CAUGCAAGUCGAGGGGCAGCAUGUUGGUUGCUUGCAACCAAUGAUGGCGACCGGCGCACGGGUGAGUAACGCGUAUCCAACCUACCCUUGUCCAUCGGAUAACCCGUCGAAAGGCGGCCUAACACGAUAUGCGGUUCUCAGCAGGCAUCUAACGAGAACGAAAUGUGAAGGAGAAGGAUGGGGAUGCGUCUGAUUAGCUUGUUGGCGGGGUAACGGCCCACCAAGGCGACGAUCAGUAGGGGUUCUGAGAGGAAGGUCCCCCACAUUGGAACUGAGACACGGUCCAAACUCCUACGGGAGGCAGCAGUGAGGAAUAUUGGUCAAUGGACGAGAGUCUGAACCAGCCAAGUAGCGUGCAGGAAGACGGCCCUAUGGGUUGUAAACUGCUUUUAUAGGGGGAUAAAGUGUGCCACGUGUGGCAUAUUGCAGGUACCCUAUGAAUAAGGACCGGCUAAUUCCGUGCCAGCAGCCGCGGUAAUACGGAAGGUCCAGGCGUUAUCCGGAUUUAUUGGGUUUAAAGGGAGCGUAGGCCGUUUGGUAAGCGUGUUGUGAAAUGUCGGGGCUCAACCUGGGCAUUGCAGCGCGAACUGCCAGACUUGAGUGCGCAGGAAGUAGGCGGAAUUCGUCGUGUAGCGGUGAAAUGCUUAGAUAUGACGAAGAACUCCGAUUGCGAAGGCAGCCUGCUGUAGCGCAACUGACGCUGAAGCUCGAAAGCGUGGGUAUCGAACAGGAUUAGAUACCCUGGUAGUCCACGCGGUAAACGAUGGAUGCUCGCUGUUUGCGUCUGACGUAAGCGGCCAAGCGAAAGCGUCAAGCAUCCCACCUGGGGAGUACGCCGGCAACGGUGAAACUCAAAGGAAUUGACGGGGGCCCGCACAAGCGGAGGAACAUGUGGUUUAAUUCGAUGAUACGCGAGGAACC
RNAcentral lists this ribosomal RNA (921 nucleotides) under uncultured bacterium. RNAcentral describes it as "bacterial SSU rRNA". It matches the Rfam family "Bacterial small subunit ribosomal RNA", at positions 54 to 970 of the family's 1533-position model. The record is from RNAcentral.